CUACGGGGUGCUGCAGUGAGGAAUAUUGCACAAUGGGGGGAACCCUGAUGCAGCAACGCCGCGUGGAGGAUGACGCAUUUCGGUGUGUAAACUCCUUUUAUAUGUCAAGAAAAUGACGGUAGCAUAUGAAUAAGCACCGGCUAACUCCGUGCCAGCAGCCGCGGUAGUACGGAGGUGUGCAAGCGUUACUCGGAAUCACUGGGCGUAAAGGACGCGUAGGCGGGCUUGUAAGUCAGGUGUGAAAUCCUACAGCUUAACUGUAGAACUGCACUUGAAACUACGAGCCUAGAGUAUGGGAGGGGGAGAUGGAAUUAGUGGUGUAGGGGUAAAAUCCGUAGAUAUCACUAGGAAUACCUAAAGCGAAGGCGAUCUCCUGGAACAUAACUGACGCUAAGGCGUGAAAGCGUGGGGAGCAAACAGGAUUAGAUACCCUGGUAGUC
RNAcentral lists this ribosomal RNA (440 nucleotides) under uncultured bacterium. Its description in RNAcentral is "partial 16S ribosomal RNA". It matches the Rfam family "Bacterial small subunit ribosomal RNA", at positions 339 to 795 of the family's 1533-position model. The record is from RNAcentral.